This 254-nucleotide ribosomal RNA is filed under the name uncultured bacterium. RNAcentral's name for it is "partial 16S ribosomal RNA". It matches the Rfam family "Bacterial small subunit ribosomal RNA", at positions 524 to 776 of the family's 1533-position model. The record is from RNAcentral.
UACGUAGGGGGCGAGCGUUGUCCGGAUUCAUUGGGCGUAAAGAGCUCGUAGGCGGCUUGGCAAGUCGGAUGUGAAAACUCCAGGCUCAACCUGGAGCCGCCAUUCGAUACUGCUAUGGCUAGAGUCCGGUAGGGGAGUGUGGAAUUCCCGGUGUAGCGGUGAAAUGCGCAGAUAUCAGGAGGAACACCGGUGGCGGAGGCGGGUCUCUGGGCCGAUACUGACGCUGAGGAGCGAAAGCGUGGGGAGCGAACAGG